This 299-nucleotide signal recognition particle RNA is filed under the name Cebus imitator (Panamanian white-faced capuchin). RNAcentral's name for it is "Metazoan signal recognition particle RNA (ENSCCAG00000001385.1)". It matches the Rfam family "Metazoan signal recognition particle RNA". Rfam says of the family: The signal recognition particle (SRP) is a universally conserved ribonucleoprotein. It is involved in the co-translational targeting of proteins to membranes. The eukaryotic SRP consists of a 300-nucleotide 7S RNA and six proteins: SRPs 72, 68, 54, 19, 14, and 9. Lineage: Eukaryota; Metazoa; Chordata; Mammalia; Primates; Cebidae. The record is from RNAcentral.
GCUGGGUGUGGUGGCACGUGCCUGUAGUCCCAGCUACUCGGGAGGCUGAGGUGGGAGGAUCACUUGAGCCCAGGAGUUCUGGGCUGUAGUGCGCUAUGCUGAUAGGGUGUCUGCACUAAGUUCGGCAUCAAUAUGGUGACCUCCCAGGAGCGGGGGACCACCAGGUUGCCUAAGGAGGGCUGAACCGGCCCAGGUCGGAAACAGAGCAGGUCAAAACUCCCGUGCUGAUCAGUAGUGGGAUCUUGCCUGUGAAUAGCCACUGCACUCCAGCCUGGGCAACAUAGCGAGACCCCGUCUCU